CGCUGGCGGCAUGCCUUACACAUGCAAGUCGAACGGCAGCACGGGUGCUUGCACCUGGUGGCGAGUGGCGAACGGGUGAGUAAUAUAUCGGAACGUACCUUAUUGUGGGGGAUAACGCAGCGAAAGCUGUGCUAAUACCGCAUAAUCCCUUAGGGGGAAAGUGUGGGACCUUCGGGCCACAUGCUAUCGGAUGCGCCUACGUGGGAUUAGCUAGUUGGUGAGGUAAUGGCUCACCAAGGCGACGAUCCCUAGCUGGUUUGAGAGGAUGAUCAGCCACACUGGAACUGAGACACGGUCCAGACUCCUACGGGAGGCAGCAGUGGGGAAUACUGGACAAUGGGCGCAAGCCUGAUCCAGCCAUGCCGCGUGUGUGAAGAAGGCCUUCGGGUUGUAAAGCACUUUCAGCGAGGAGGAAGAGGUGGUCGUGAAUAGCGGCUACCUUUGACGUUACUCGCAGAAGAAGCACCGGCUAACUCUGUG
This 480-nucleotide ribosomal RNA is filed under the name uncultured bacterium. RNAcentral's name for it is "bacterial SSU rRNA". It matches the Rfam family "Bacterial small subunit ribosomal RNA", at positions 34 to 507 of the family's 1533-position model. The record is from RNAcentral.